This 253-nucleotide ribosomal RNA is filed under the name uncultured bacterium. RNAcentral's name for it is "partial 16S ribosomal RNA". It matches the Rfam family "Bacterial small subunit ribosomal RNA", at positions 524 to 776 of the family's 1533-position model. The record is from RNAcentral.
UACGGAGGAUCCACGCGUUAUCCGGAAUCAUUGGGUUUAAAGGGUCCGUAGGCGGUCUAAUAAGUCAGUGGUGAAAUCCUUCCGCUUAACGGGAGAACGGCCAUUGAUACUGUUAGACUUGAAUUAUUAGGAAGUAACUAGAAUAUGUAGUGUAGCGGUGAAAUGCUUAGAGAUUACAUGGAAUACCAAUUGCGAAGGCAGGUUACUACUAAUUGAUUGACGCUGAUGGACGAAAGCGUGGGUAGCGAACAGG